Molecule: ribosomal RNA, 253 nt
Filed under: uncultured bacterium
Lineage: Bacteria
Description: partial 16S ribosomal RNA
Rfam family: Bacterial small subunit ribosomal RNA
Source: RNAcentral
UACGUAGGGACCGAGCGUUGUCCGGAUUCAUUGGGCGUAAAGAGCUCGUAGGCGGCUAUUCAAGUCGAACGUGAAAUCUCGGAGCUCAACUCCGAAACUGCGUUCGAUACUGGGUAGCUAGAGUCUGGUAGGGGGAUCUGGAAUUCCUGGUGUAGCGGUGGAAUGCGCAGAUAUCAGGAGGAACACCGGUGGCGAAGGCGGGAUCCUGGGCCAGUACUGACGCUGAGGAACGAAAGCGUGGGGAGCAAACAGG